This 274-nucleotide ribosomal RNA is filed under the name uncultured bacterium. RNAcentral's name for it is "partial 16S ribosomal RNA". It matches the Rfam family "Bacterial small subunit ribosomal RNA", at positions 523 to 796 of the family's 1533-position model. The record is from RNAcentral.
AUACGUAGGUCCCAAGCGUUGCGCGAUCUCACUGAGCGUAAAGCGUCCCCAGCCGGUCCGGUAAGCGGAUUGUCAAAACCCGCGGCUCAACCGCGGUAGGGCAACCCGAACUGUCGGACUUGAGGCAAGCCCAGGCAGGCGGAAUUCCCGGUGUGGCGGUGAAAUGCGUAGAUAUCGGGAGGAACACCAAAGGGGAAGCCAGCCUGCUGGGGCUGCCCUGACGGUCACGGACGAAAGCUGGGGGAGCAAACCGGAUUAGAAACCCUAGUAGUCC